UACAGAGGGUGCGAGCGUUAAUCGGAAUUACUGGGCGUAAAGCGCACGUAGGCGGCUUGGUAUGUCGGGUGUGAAAUCCCCGGGCUCAACCUGGGAACUGCAUCCGAAACUGCCUUGCUCGAGUAUGGGAGAGGGAAGUGGAAUUCCAGGUGUAGCGGUGAAAUGCGUAGAUAUCUGGAGGAACACCGGUGGCGAAGGCGGCAUCCUGGACCAACACUGACACUGAGGAGCGAAAGCCAGGGGAGCAAACGGG
This 253-nucleotide ribosomal RNA is filed under the name uncultured bacterium. RNAcentral's name for it is "partial 16S ribosomal RNA". It matches the Rfam family "Bacterial small subunit ribosomal RNA", at positions 524 to 776 of the family's 1533-position model. The record is from RNAcentral.